GAUGAACGCUAGCGGCAGGCCUAAUACAUGCAAGUCGGACGGGAUCCAUUGAUAGCUUGCUAUCCAUGGUGAGAGUGGCGCACGGGUGCGUAACGCGUGAGCAACCUGCCUCCAUCAGGGGGAUAGCCUCUCGAAAGAGAGAUUAACACCGCAUAAUAUCAACAGUUCGCAUGUUCAGUUGAUUAAAUAUUUAUAGGAUGGAGAUGGGCUCGCGUGACAUUAGCUAGUUGGUAGGGUAACGGCUUACCAAGGCGACGAUGUCUAGGGGCUCUGAGAGGAGAAUCCCCCAGACUGGUACUGAGACACGGACCAGACUCCUACGGGAGGCAGCAGUAAGGCAUAUUGGUCAAUGGGCGGAAGCCUGAACCAGCCAUGCCGCGUGCAGGAUGACUGCGCUAUUGGUGGUAAACUGCUUUUGUCCAGGAAUAAACCUAAAUACGAGUAUUUAGCUGAAUGUACUGGAAGAAUAAGGAUCGGCUAACUCCGUG
This 488-nucleotide ribosomal RNA is filed under the name uncultured bacterium. Its description in RNAcentral is "partial 16S ribosomal RNA". It matches the Rfam family "Bacterial small subunit ribosomal RNA", at positions 28 to 507 of the family's 1533-position model. The record is from RNAcentral.